This is a long non-coding RNA of Archocentrus centrarchus (flier cichlid), 1234 nucleotides long. RefSeq lists it as uncharacterized. The transcript has 3 exons. NCBI's taxonomy places the organism in Eukaryota, Metazoa, Chordata, Actinopteri, Cichliformes, Cichlidae. The record is from RefSeq and is a predicted model, not a curated record.
UAUAGUUUUACUUCCGCCUGAAACCAGAGCUUCCAUUUCAGCGAAGUUGUUACGGAACGGCGAGAACGGGAUUGAAGAAAGGGGCAGCUUCUGUUGAGAGAAAGUGUCCACCAGUUACACUGUAUUUCUGCUGUGCAACCAACUUGGAAGUUCUGGGUCAACCUGUGUUAUCCAUGCAUGUGGAAAUGUAAAGAAUAUGAUCUUCUUCAUAUUCAAGAAGAUCUGAACUUCUAAAACAUUACAAACUUGAUCAUCUCAGAGCACCAUGGCAGACAUGGCACCUGUUUGAUUGCUGAUCGUUUUAAGUGAAGACAACAGCGUAAGAAUGGAGCUGCACAAAGGGAUUCCAAACUCAUUGGAAGAGCUUAUUGAUGAGGUUAAGAAUGCGUGUGGAUUAGAGGGACACAUAAGGCUGCAGUAUAAGGACACCGAUUUUGGAAACAUAUUUGUGAAUCUGACCUCUACAUCUGUGAUUAGGGAUCUUAAAUUCUCAAAGUUGUUCAGUUAGACCCUGAUACCACAACUGUUGUCUUGUACCCGGUUGAUCCCUCAAUAAGUAUCAACACUUCUGUAAGUGGCCUGGACAGUGAUGACUCCUCUGUUUCUGCACAUACAGAUGACACAGUGUUGCUUAGCAGCCCCUCACCAGACUCACUAAGGACACAGCAGUGGCCACAAGUGUUCCAAAUCCCAAACUUCUCCUAUGACACAAAAUGCCAACUGCAGAAGGCAAAUGUGGAGUACAUGAAAAGCCAAACAAAACUGACUCCUAGUUCAAAAAUGUUGUCAGACAUAGUGGAGAAAUUAGCUGAAAGUGUGUAUGCAUACACACCAUAUCCUGAAGAUGGUCACUACAGCGAUGUUGCUGAGGCACUCACAAGAAAGCACCCCUGCCUUAGAGAGCCAGGAUCUUUCAGUCAGAGCUAUGGGUGGAAACAGAGGCUCAAGAUAAAAAUGGCCAACUACCGGACCCAACUCAAGGCACAUGGCACGUCUGCUGAGCUCACAGUGAAUUCUUUAAAAGCAAAAAUUCCAGGGGAUGCCUUUCCGGCAUAGAAUGUGAAGAGUCCUAGAUGAGCUGAGGUCAACCAUUUUCCAUCUUUUCCAAUUGGUGAGACUACAGAAAGCUUGGAACAAGAGAGGAUUUCCCUUUUGGCAGAAAUGCAGAAAAGAAACAACCAGCAAACAGUAAAAGCAAAGAUGGCAAAGACAUUUGGAUACCGAAGACAGGAAA